AAGACUGUACUCUACACAGGAUCUGUUUUUGAGUUCAUUCGUGUUGGAGAUUACCUACUCUGGCACAAGGCCAAAGCUGGAUGAUGAAGUCGACUAGGCUUGCUGGCAUGAGCAUUGCGAUGAGUGCAGACAAGGAAGCAACCUGGUCACUUACAGCUU
This is a non-coding RNA of Diplonema papillatum, 159 nucleotides long. NCBI's taxonomy places the organism in Eukaryota, Euglenozoa, Diplonemea, Diplonemida, Diplonemidae. The record is from the annotation of a GenBank genome assembly.